RNAcentral lists this ribosomal RNA (255 nucleotides) under uncultured bacterium. RNAcentral describes it as "partial 16S ribosomal RNA". It matches the Rfam family "Bacterial small subunit ribosomal RNA", at positions 521 to 776 of the family's 1533-position model. The record is from RNAcentral.
UAAUACGUAGGGGGCGAGCGUUAUCCGGAAUUAUUGGGCGUAAAGAGUGCGUAGGUGGCCAUGUAAGCGCGGGGUGAAAGGCAAUAGCUUAACUAUUGUAAGCCUUGCGAACUGUGUGGCUUGAGUGCAGGAGAGGAAAGUGGAAUUCCUAGUGUAGCGGUGAAAUGCGUAGAUAUUAGGAGGAACACCAGUGGCGAAGGCGACUUUCUGGACUGUAACUGACACUGAGGCACGAAAGCGUGGGGAGCAAACAGG